UAUGUGAUCGUCUCUCGCAUAUCAAUAAGCGGAGGAAAAGAAACUAACAAGGAUUCCCCUAGUAACGGCGAGUGAAGCGGGAAGAGCUCAAAUUUGAAAUCUUAAAGGGUUUCCCUUUACGAAUUGUAGUUUAAAGAAGUGUUUUCUGUUGAGGUUUUGGUAAAAGUUCUUUGGAAUAGGACAUCAUAGAGGGUGAGAAUCCCGUAUUUGACCUUUACUUUCAACUUUGUGAUACACUUUCAAAGAGUCGGAUUGUUUGGGAAUGCAGUCCAAAAUGGGUGGUAAAUUUCAUCUAAAGCUAAAUAUUGGCGAGAGACCGAUAGCGAACAAGUACCGUGAGGGAAAGAUGAAAAGAACUUUGAAAAGAGAGUUAAACAGUACGUGAAAUUGUCAAAAGGGAAGCGUUUGACACCAGUGUUGUUUUUCUGAAAAUCAAUUAAAGAACUGUUUAUGCUAAGCUGUUUAGACUUUAUCAGCUAUACUGUUUAGUUUUGAGCUUUUCUUUAAUGCACUUUUCAGUUAACAAGUCAACAUCAAUUUCUUUUGCUGUAAAAAAGCUUGAGGAAGGUGGCUUGAGAUUCGUCUUAAGUGUUUAUAGCCUCUUGCCUAUGCAGUCGGAGAGAUUGAGGUCUGCAGCGUAGAUCCUUCGGGGCUAAAUGCAUUUGUGCUAAGUUAUAGCAUUUUAUAGACAACUUGUUGACUAUGAUUUGUCUUGUAGCUUACUCGCUUAUGUUAUUUUACCUACGCUUAGGAUGUUGAAGACUCUACAGAGAUA
Molecule: ribosomal RNA, 775 nt
Filed under: uncultured Neocallimastigales
Lineage: Eukaryota; Fungi; Neocallimastigomycota; Neocallimastigomycetes; Neocallimastigales
Description: partial large subunit ribosomal RNA
Rfam family: Eukaryotic large subunit ribosomal RNA
Source: RNAcentral